GCUAAACGCGAAGAACCUUACCAAGGCUUGACAUAUAGAGGAAACGGCUGGAAACAGUCGCCCCGCAAGGUCUCUAUACAGGUGGUGCAUGGUUGUCGUCAGCUCGUGUCGUGAGAUGUUGGGUUAAGUCCCGCAACGAGCGCAACCCUCGUUCUAUGUUGCCAGCACGUAAUGGUGGGAACUCAUGGGAUACUGCCGGGGUCAACUCGGAGGAAGGUGGGGAUGACGUCAAAUCAUCAUGCCCCUUAUGUCUUGGGCUUCACGCAUGCUACAAUGGCCGGUACAAAGGGCUGCAAUACCGUAAGGUGGAGCGAAUCCCAAAAAGCCGGUCCCAGUUCGGAUUGAGGUCUGCAACUCGACCUCAUGAAGUCGGAGUCGCUAGUAAUCGCAGAUCAGCAACGCUGCGGUGAAUACGUUCCCGGGUCUUGUACACACCG
This 437-nucleotide ribosomal RNA is filed under the name uncultured bacterium. Its description in RNAcentral is "bacterial SSU rRNA". It matches the Rfam family "Bacterial small subunit ribosomal RNA", at positions 954 to 1392 of the family's 1533-position model. The record is from RNAcentral.